CAUACAGACAAGCAUCUGGGUGCCCUUAGUAAGUAAGGGGUAACAGGGAAUCGGGUGAAAAUCCCGAGCGGUCCCGCCACUGUAACGGUGAGCCGGCCAUCAAUAUGUCACUCGAGCAAUUGGGGGAAGACGAUGGCAGGCGAUGAACCGAAGCCAGGAGACCUACCCGGACUGCCUACACAAU
RNAcentral lists this non-coding RNA (184 nucleotides) under Paenibacillus darwinianus. The record is from RNAcentral. Lineage: Bacteria; Bacillati; Bacillota; Bacilli; Caryophanales; Paenibacillaceae.